UGGUGUUGCAGAACCUGGGGGAAUGGCCAA
Molecule: non-coding RNA, 30 nt
Filed under: Rattus norvegicus (Norway rat)
Lineage: Eukaryota; Metazoa; Chordata; Mammalia; Rodentia; Muridae
Source: RNAcentral